UACGUAGGGGGCAAGCGUUGUCCGGAUUUACUGGGCGUAAAGCGUGCGCAGGCGGUUAUGUAAGACUGUUGUGAAAUCCCCGGGCUCAACCUGGGAACUGCAUCUGUGACUGCAUAGCUAGAGUACGGUAGAGGGGGAUGGAAUUCCGCGUGUAGCAGUGAAAUGCGUAGAUAUGCGGAGGAACACCGAUGGCGAAGGCAAUCCCCUGGGCCUGCACUGACGCUCAUGCACGAAAGCGUGGGGAGCAAACAGG
This 253-nucleotide ribosomal RNA is filed under the name uncultured bacterium. RNAcentral's name for it is "partial 16S ribosomal RNA". It matches the Rfam family "Bacterial small subunit ribosomal RNA", at positions 524 to 776 of the family's 1533-position model. The record is from RNAcentral.